Molecule: ribosomal RNA, 831 nt
Filed under: Bacillus sp. 13007
Lineage: Bacteria; Bacillati; Bacillota; Bacilli; Caryophanales; Bacillaceae
Description: bacterial SSU rRNA
Rfam family: Bacterial small subunit ribosomal RNA
Source: RNAcentral
UGCAGUCGAGCGGAAGAUGGGAGCUUGCUCCCUGAUGUUAGCGGCGGACGGGUGAGUAACACGUGGGUAACCUGCCUGUAAGACUGGGAUAACUCCGGGAAACCGGGGCUAAUACCGGAUGCUUGUUUGAACCGCAUGGUUCAAACAUAAAAGGUGGCUUCGGCUACCACUUACAGAUGGACCCGCGGCGCAUUAGCUAGUUGGUGAGGUAAYGGCUCACCAAGGCAACGAUGCGUAGCCGACCUGAGAGGGUGAUCGGCCACACUGGGACUGAGACACGGCCCAGACUCCUACGGGAGGCAGCAGUAGGGAAUCUUCCGCAAUGGACGAAAGUCUGACGGAGCAACGCCGCGUGAGUGAUGAAGGUUUUCGGAUCGUAAAGCUCUGUUGUUAGGGAAGAACAAGUGCCGUUCAAAUAGGGCGGCACCUUGACGGUACCUAACCAGAAAGCCACGGCUAACUACGUGCCAGCAGCCGCGGUAAUACGUAGGUGGCAAGCGUUGUCCGGAAUUAUUGGGCGUAAAGGGCUCGCAGGCGGUUUCUUAAGUCUGAUGUGAAAGCCCCCGGCUCAACCGGGGAGGGUCAUUGGAAACUGGGGAACUUGAGUGCAGAAGAGGAGAGUGGAAUUCCACGUGUAGCGGUGAAAUGCGUAGAGAUGUGGAGGAACACCAGUGGCGAAGGCGACUCUCUGGUCUGUAACUGACGCUGAGGAGCGAAAGCGUGGGGAGCGAACAGGAUUAGAUACCCUGGUAGUCCACGCCGUAAACGAUGAGUGCUAAGUGUUAGGGGGUUUCCGCCCCUUAGUGCUGCAGCUAACGCAUUAAGCACUCC